This 433-nucleotide ribosomal RNA is filed under the name uncultured Syntrophaceae bacterium. RNAcentral's name for it is "bacterial SSU rRNA". It matches the Rfam family "Bacterial small subunit ribosomal RNA", at positions 948 to 1382 of the family's 1533-position model. Lineage: Bacteria; Pseudomonadati; Thermodesulfobacteriota; Syntrophia; Syntrophales; Syntrophaceae. The record is from RNAcentral.
AAUUCGAUGCAACGCGAAGAACCUUACCUGGCUUGACAUCCCGGGAAUCCCUUGGAAACAAGGGAGUGCCCUUCGGGGAACCUGGAGACAGGUGCUGCAUGGCUGUCGUCAGCUCGUGUCGUGAGAUGUAGGGUUAAGUCCCGCAACGAGCGCAACCCUUGUCAUUAAUUGCCAUCAUUCAGUUGGGCACUUUAAUGAGACUGCCGGUGACAAACCGGAGGAAGGUGGGGAUGACGUCAAGUCCUCAUGGCCCUUAUGGGUAGGGCUUCACACGUAAUACAAUGGUCGGUACAAAGGGUUGCCAAGCCGCGAGGUGGAGCUAAUCCCAUAAACCGAUCGUAGUCCGGAUCGCAGUCUGCAACUCGACUGCGUGAAGUCGGAAUCGCUAGUAAUCGUGAAUCAGAAUGUCACGGUGAAUACGUUCCCGGGCCUU